This 226-nucleotide unclassified non-coding RNA is filed under the name Hevea brasiliensis (rubber tree). Lineage: Eukaryota; Viridiplantae; Streptophyta; Magnoliopsida; Malpighiales; Euphorbiaceae. The record is from RNAcentral.
GGACAAUGACGGUAUAAGUAGGCUUUGUCAUUGCCUGCAUCCUUGCCUCAAAAUUUGAGAUAUCCACACCCUGAAUAUGUAUCUCUAAAGGCACAGGGCGCACAGUAGGUGGGAAAUUGAAAAGGCCAUGAGAACUCGCACCUAUCCAUUCACCAAGGUCCUUAGCAUUAGCAAGAGAAGCGGAAAGAGCUACUAUGCGGAUAUUACUCUCAAUCUGACUAGCAAU